RNAcentral lists this ribosomal RNA (390 nucleotides) under uncultured bacterium. RNAcentral describes it as "bacterial SSU rRNA". It matches the Rfam family "Bacterial small subunit ribosomal RNA", at positions 28 to 417 of the family's 1533-position model. The record is from RNAcentral.
GAUGAACGCUGGCGGCGUGCUUAACACAUGCAAGUCGAACGGUGAAGCCCAGCUUGCUGGGUGGAUCAGUGGCGAACGGGUGAGUAACACGUGAGCAAUCUGCCCCUGACUCUGGGAUAAGCGCUGGAAACGGCGUCUAAUACUGGAUAUGAACCGUGGAGGCAUCUUCAGCGGUUGGAAAGAUUUUUUGGUCAGGGAUGAGCUCGCGGCCUAUCAGCUUGUUGGUGAGGUAAUGGCUCACCAAGGCGUCGACGGGUAGCCGGCCUGAGAGGGUGACCGGCCACACUGGGACUGAGACACGGCCCAGACUCCUACGGGAGGCAGCAGUGGGGAAUAUUGCACAAUGGGCGCAAGCCUGAUGCAGCAACGCCGCGUGAGGGAUGACGGCCU